CAUGCAAGUCGAGGGGCAGCAUAAUGGAUAGCAAUAUCUAUGGUGGCGACCGGCGCACGGGUGCGUAACGCGUAUGCAACCUACCUUUAACAGGGGGAUAACACUGAGAAAUUGGUACUAAUACCCCAUAAUAUCAUAGAAGGCAUCUUUUAUGGUUGAAAAUUCCGAUGGUUAGAGAUGGGCAUGCGUUGUAUUAGCUAGUUGGUGGGGUAACGGCUCACCAAGGCGACGAUACAUAGGGGGACUGAGAGGUUAACCCCCCACACUGGUACUGAGACACGGACCAGACUCCUACGGGAGGCAGCAGUGUGGAAUAUUGGUCAAUGGACGCAAGUCUGAACCAGCCAUGCCGCGUGCAGGAUGACGGCUCUAUGAGUUGUAAACUGCUUUUGUACGAGGGUAAACGCAGAUACGUGUAUCUGUCUGAAAGUAUCGUACGAAUAAGGAUCGGCUAACUCCGUGCCAGCAGCCGCGGUAAUACGGAGGAUUCAAGCGUUAUCCGGAUUUAUUGGGUUUAAAGGGUGCGUAGGCGGUUUGAUAAGUUAGAGGUGAAAUUUCGGGGCUCAACCCUGAACGUGCCUCUAAUACUGUUGAGCUAGAGAGUAGUUGCGGUAGGCGGAAUGUAUGGUGUAGCGGUGAAAUGCUUAGAGAUCAUACAGAACACCGAUUGCGAAGGCAGCUUACCAAACUAUAUCUGACGUUGAGGCACGAAAGCGUGGGGAGCAAACAGGAUUAGAUACCCUGGUAGUCCACGCAGUAAACGAUGAUAACUCGUUGUCGGCGAUACACAGUCGGUGACUAAGCGAAAGCGAUAAGUUAUCCACCUGGGGAGUACGUUCGCAAGAAUGAAACUCAAAGGAAUUGACGGGGGCCCGCACAAGCGGAGGAACAUGUGGUUUAAUUCGAUGAUACGCGAGGAACCUUACCCGGGCUUGAAAGUU
RNAcentral lists this ribosomal RNA (941 nucleotides) under uncultured bacterium. RNAcentral describes it as "bacterial SSU rRNA". It matches the Rfam family "Bacterial small subunit ribosomal RNA", at positions 54 to 989 of the family's 1533-position model. The record is from RNAcentral.